RNAcentral lists this ribosomal RNA (253 nucleotides) under uncultured bacterium. Its description in RNAcentral is "partial 16S ribosomal RNA". It matches the Rfam family "Bacterial small subunit ribosomal RNA", at positions 524 to 776 of the family's 1533-position model. The record is from RNAcentral.
UACGGAGGGAGCUAGCGUUGUUCGGAAUUACUGGGCGUAAAGCGCGCGUAGGCGGCUUUGUAAGUUAGAGGUGAAAGCCCGGGGCUCAACUCCGGAAUUGCCUUUAAGACUGCAUCGCUAGAAUCCGGGAGAGGUGAGUGGAAUUCCGAGUGUAGAGGUGAAAUUCGUAGAUAUUCGGAAGAACACCAGUGGCGAAGGCGGCUCACUGGACCGGCAUUGACGCUGAGGUGCGAAAGCGUGGGGAGCAAACGGG